GCCCGUUUAGCUCAGUGGUAGAGCGCGCCACUCGUACGAGCACCAGCUCAAAGCGACAUGGUGAGGUCACUCGUUCAAUCCGGGUAGUGGGCA
This is a non-coding RNA of Sistotremastrum niveocremeum HHB9708, 93 nucleotides long. Lineage: Eukaryota; Fungi; Basidiomycota; Agaricomycetes; Sistotremastrales; Sistotremastraceae. The record is from the annotation of a GenBank genome assembly.